GAUGAACGCUGGCGGCGUGCCUAAUACAUGCAAGUCGAGCGAACGGACGAGAAGCUUGCUUCUCUGAUGUUAGCGGCGGACGGGUGAGUAACACGUGGAUAACCUACCUAUAAGACUGGGAUAACUUCGGGAAACCGGAGCUAAUACCGGAUGAUAUUUUGAACCGCAUGGUUCAAAAGUGAAAGACGGUCUUGCUGUCACUUAUAGAUGGAUCCGCGCUGCAUUAGCUAGUUGGUAAGGUAACGGCUUACCAAGGCAACGAUGCAAAGCCGACCUGAGAGGGUGAUCGGCCACACUGGAACUGAGACACGGUCCAGACUCCUACGGGAGGCAGCAGUAGGGAAUCUUCCGCAAUGGGCGAAAGCCUGACGGAGCAACGCCGCGUGAGUGAUGAAGGUCUUCGGAUCGUAAAACUCUGUUAUUAGGGAAGAACAUAUGUGUAAGUAACUGUGCACAUCUUGACGGUACCUAAUCAGAAAGCCACGGCUAACUACGUG
RNAcentral lists this ribosomal RNA (497 nucleotides) under uncultured bacterium. RNAcentral describes it as "partial 16S ribosomal RNA". It matches the Rfam family "Bacterial small subunit ribosomal RNA", at positions 28 to 507 of the family's 1533-position model. The record is from RNAcentral.